Molecule: ribosomal RNA, 253 nt
Filed under: uncultured bacterium
Lineage: Bacteria
Description: partial 16S ribosomal RNA
Rfam family: Bacterial small subunit ribosomal RNA
Source: RNAcentral
UACGUAGGGGGCUAGCGUUGUCCGGAAUCAUUGGGCGUAAAGCGCGCGUAGGCGGCCAGAUAAGUCCGGUGUGAAAGUCACAGGCUCAACCUGUGAAUGCCGCUGGAAACUGUCUGGCUUGAGUCCGGAAGGGGCGAGUGGAAUUCCUGGUGUAGCGGUGAAAUGCGCAGAUAUCAGGAGGAGCACCAAUGGCGAAGGCAGCUCGCUGGAACGGUACUGACGCUGAGGCGCGAAAGCGUGGGGAGCGAACAGG